RNAcentral lists this ribosomal RNA (381 nucleotides) under Marvania sp. RNAcentral describes it as "partial small subunit ribosomal RNA". It matches the Rfam family "Eukaryotic small subunit ribosomal RNA", at positions 587 to 975 of the family's 1831-position model. Lineage: Eukaryota; Viridiplantae; Chlorophyta; Trebouxiophyceae; Chlorellales; Chlorellaceae. The record is from RNAcentral.
AGCUCCAAUAGUGUAUAUUUAAGUUGCUGCAGUUAAAAAGCUCGUAGUUGGAUUCCGGGAAGGCCUCAAAAGUCAAGCCAAGUGCUGUGUACUUAUGUGGACCUUAACUCUUAUCAUAGGUACAUUUUAAAGAUUUCCUCUUUGUGUGCAUAUGGUGUGGUUACUGUGAGUAAACUAGAAUGUUUAAGGUAGGCGGUUGCUCUGAAUAUAUUAGCAUGGAAUAACAUUAUAGUACUUCAAUCUAUUCUGCUGAAUUGUGGGACUGAAGUAAAGAUUAAUAGGGACAGUCGGGGGCAUUCGUAUUUCAUUGUCAGAGGUGAAAUUCUUGGAUUGAUGAAAGACGAACUACUGCGAAAGCAUUUGCCAAGUAUGUUUUCAUCA